AAAUCCGUCGAAAUUUGAAAUCGUGAGGGUUCAAGUCCCUCUAUCCCCA
Molecule: transfer RNA, 49 nt
Filed under: Rossioglossum beloglossum
Lineage: Eukaryota; Viridiplantae; Streptophyta; Magnoliopsida; Asparagales; Orchidaceae
Description: partial tRNA-Leu
Source: RNAcentral